CGGUGGUCCCACCUGACCCCAUGCCGAACUCAGAAGUGAAACGCCGUAGCGCCGAUGGUAGUGUGGGGUCUCCCCAUGUGAGAGUAGGGAACUGCCAGGU
RNAcentral lists this ribosomal RNA (100 nucleotides) under Enterobacter cloacae. Lineage: Bacteria; Pseudomonadati; Pseudomonadota; Gammaproteobacteria; Enterobacterales; Enterobacteriaceae. The record is from RNAcentral. RNAcentral also lists the same sequence under 2 other names.